UAGUUUAAUGGUCAGAACAUUGGUGCGUAAAGCCAAAGCUCCCGGGUUCGAUUCCCGG
This 58-nucleotide transfer RNA is filed under the name Agrilus planipennis (emerald ash borer). It matches the Rfam family "tRNA", at positions 8 to 63 of the family's 71-position model. From Rfam's summary of the family: Transfer RNA (tRNA) molecules are approximately 80 nucleotides in length. Their secondary structure includes four short double-helical elements and three loops (D, anti-codon, and T loops). Further hydrogen bonds mediate the characteristic L-shaped molecular structure. tRNAs have two regions of fundamental functional importance: the anti-codon, which is responsible for specific mRNA codon recognition, and the 3' end, to which the tRNAs corresponding amino acid is attached (by aminoacyl-tRNA synthetases). tRNAs cope with the degeneracy of the genetic code in two manners: having more than one tRNA (with a specific anti-codon) for a particular amino acid; and 'wobble' base-pairing, i.e. permitting non-standard base-pairing at the 3rd anti-codon position. The record is from Rfam by way of RNAcentral. Lineage: Eukaryota; Metazoa; Arthropoda; Insecta; Coleoptera; Buprestidae.